AAGGGCACCACAAGAACGCGUGGAGCAUGUGGCUUAAUUUGACUCAACGCGGGAAAUCUUACCGGGUCCGGACACACUGAGGAUUGACAGGCAAUAUUAAUACGUGUUCGCACGUAUUAUGUUAAAUAUGCUAGUCCUUUCAUGAUUAUGUGAUAGGUGGUGCAUGGCCGUUCUUAGUUCGUGGAGUGAUCUGUCUGCUUAAUUGCGUUUCACUAAGGGCCUAUAAAUUUACGUGUGUUGCGGCACUUUGACCCCUUUCUUCGGAAAGCGCGCGUCUUAGUUUGCUUUGCUCACACAAUUAGGUCCUGAAAGCAACGAACGUGACCGCAACCUCUUGUUGCCUUUAUACCAAACAUGUUUGACAUUUUUAUGGCAUUCAUGAAAAAAGGCUUUUUAAACUAGAGGGACCGCUGUUACUUUCUUAAACCAGAGGAAGGUUGCGGCAAUAACAGGUCUGUGAUGCCCUUAGAUGUUCCGGGCUGCACACGUGCUACAAUGAUUAUUGCAGUGAGCAUCUCAUUUUUACACACCGCAUGCGCGAGUCCAUUUAUUCACUUCGGUGCUUUAAAUGUGUAUUUCUGCGCGCGGUAAAGCCUGCUUCGAAAGUAAGUGGGUAAUCAAUUAGAAGUAAUGAUUUCCUUUUUAGCACACAUAUAUACGGCGUCUAUACCCGGGUUACCUUGUUGUAACUUUUGUGUGUAUAGAUGUUUUUUCCGUAUGUGCGAUUGUCAAUUCAUGGUGGGGACAGACCAUUGUUAAUUGUUGGUCUCGGUCUUAACUAGGAAUGCCUUGUACGGGUCUUUGAUUCAACAAACCACCCGGAAUACGUCCCUGCCCUUUGUACACACCGCCCGUC
Molecule: ribosomal RNA, 856 nt
Filed under: Cibicidoides variabilis
Lineage: Eukaryota; Foraminifera; Rotaliida; Anomalinidae
Description: SSU rRNA
Rfam family: Eukaryotic small subunit ribosomal RNA
Source: RNAcentral